This 253-nucleotide ribosomal RNA is filed under the name uncultured bacterium. Its description in RNAcentral is "partial 16S ribosomal RNA". It matches the Rfam family "Bacterial small subunit ribosomal RNA", at positions 524 to 776 of the family's 1533-position model. The record is from RNAcentral.
UACGUAGGGGGCAAGCGUUGUCCGGAUUUAUUGGGCGUAAAGAGCGUGUAGGCGGCCAGGUAGGUCUGCUGUGAAAACUGGAGGCUCAACCUCCAGCUGUCGACGGAAACCGUAUGGCUAGAGUCCGGAAGAGGAGAGUGGAAUUCCUGGUGUAGCGGUGAAAUGCGCAGAUAUCAGGAAGAACACCAAUGGCGAAGGCAGCUCUCUGGGACGGUACUGACGCUGAGACGCGAAAGCGUGGGGAGCGAACAGG